Molecule: ribosomal RNA, 417 nt
Filed under: uncultured bacterium
Lineage: Bacteria
Description: bacterial SSU rRNA
Rfam family: Bacterial small subunit ribosomal RNA
Source: RNAcentral
AUAUUGGUCAAUGGGUGAGAGCCUGAACCAGCCAUGCCGCGUGCAGGAAGACGGCCUUCUGGGUUGUAAACUGCUUUUGUCAGGGGAUAAAAAGCCCAUGCGUGGGAACUUGAAGGUACCUGACGAAUAAGCCACGGCUAACUACGUUCCAGCAGCCGCGGUAAUACGUAGGUGGCGAGCGUUGUCCGGAUUUAUUGGGUUUAAAGGGUGCGUAGGCGGCCGCAUAAGUCAGUGCUGAAAUAUCCCGGCUUAACCGGGAGGGUGGCAUUGAUACUGUGCGGCUUGAGUGAAGUCGAGGUAGGCGGAAUUGACGGUGUAGCGGUGAAAUGCUUAGAUAUCGUCAAGAACACCGAUAGUGUAGACAGCUUACUAGGCUUUAACUGACGCUGAGGCACGAAAGUGUGGGGAUCAAACAGG